CAUAUAUAGAAGUUGCCGGUUUCGAUCGGCUAUGGCGAUAAAUGGCCGUUGUAAUAAACCAUUCGGACCCGGGGGCGGUACCCGGCGCCUCCACCAUAUGCCGCUCGGGACCCGAGCGAUUUUCAAAGCGGCAUCUGAUGGGGGCGAAAUAGGAUCGACGAGGGUGUAAAGAGCGCGCUUUUGCCCGGCAUGGUUCCGCCGUUAUCGGGCCGUUUUAUAGUUGCAAACGACAACUAUGCGGAGGCUCGUUUGGCUGCGUAAGCAGUUUGACAGUCUCGAAAAUUAAGUCCUGACCUUUCGCAAGGUCAGGCGCGGUUCGGAGGGCACCGGGCAACAGAAGCCCUCCACUCGU
RNAcentral lists this transfer-messenger RNA (352 nucleotides) under bacterium BMS3Bbin10. RNAcentral's name for it is "transfer-messenger RNA, SsrA". It matches the Rfam family "Alphaproteobacteria transfer-messenger RNA". Rfam says of the family: Bacterial tmRNA, also known as 10Sa RNA or SsrA, is named for its dual tRNA and mRNA-like properties. The record is from RNAcentral.